AGUGCUUAUGGCGGAUGCCUUGGUGGCAAGAGGCGAUGAAGGACGUGGCAGUCUGCGAAAAGCUUCGGGGAAUUGACAAACGAAUUUUGAUCCGGAGAUAUCCGAAUGGGGGAACCCAGCCAGUUUUUAACUGGUUAUCAUUAACUGAAUCAAUAGGUUAAUGAAGCGAACCUAGUGAACUGAAACAUCUUAGUAACUAGAGGAAAAGAAAUCAACAGAGAUUCCGAAAGUAGUGGCGAGCGAAAUUGGAACAGCCUUAAAACCGUAUGCAAAAGUUUUUUAGUAGAAUAUUUUGGAAAGAAUAACGAAACAAGGUGAUAGUCCUGUAUACGAAAAGAAAUUCUUGCUUAGUUUUGAUAAGUAGAACGAGACAUGUGAAAUCUUGUUUGAAGAUGGGGGAACCAUCCUCCAAGGCUAAAUACUACUUGUCAACCGAUAGUGUACUAGUACCGUGAGGGAAAGGUGAAAAGAACCCCUGUUAGGGGAGUGAAAUAGAUCCUGAAACCGUAAGCAUACAAGCAGUGGGAGCUGUAAUUUAUUUAUAGUGACUGCGUACCUUUUGUAUAAUGGGUCAGCGAGUUAUUAGCAGUAGCAAGCUUAACUUUUUAUGAGGUAGGCGUAGAGAAAUCGAGUCUGAUAAGGGCUACUAAGUUUCUGUUAAUAAACCCGAAACCGGGCGAUCUAUCCAUGUCCAGGGUGAAGAUAAAGUAACAUUUAUUGGAGGCCCGAACUCACUUAUGUUGAAAAAUGAGGAGAUGAGGUGUGGAUAGGAGUGAAAGGCUAAUCAAGCUCGGAGAUAGCUGGUUCUCCGCGAAAGCUAUUUAGGUAGCGCCUUGUGUAUAACUAUUGGGGGUAGAGCACUGUUUUGGAUAUGAGGGUUAUAAAGACUUAUUGUACCAAUGCAAACUCCGAAUACCAAUAAGUUCGAGCACAGGAGACACACUACGGGUGAUAAGGUCCGUGGUGGAAAGGGAAACAGCCCAGACUACCAGCUAAGGUCCCUAAGUGAUAGUUAAGUGGAAAACGAAGUGGGAAGGCUUAAACAUCCAGGAGGUUGGCUUAGAAGCAGCCAUCCUUUAAAGAAAGCGUAAUAGCUCACUGGUCUAGUCUACCUGCGCGGAAGAUUUAACGGGGCUAAACUAUCCACCGAAGCUGUAGAUAUGUNUUUAUUGUUANAUACNUAUGGUAGCGGAGCGUUCUGUANGCNGNUGAAGNNNNACUGUAAGGUNUGNUGGAGGUAUCAGAAGUGCGAAUGCUGACAUGAGUAACGAUAAUGCAGGUGAAAAACCUGCACGCCGAAAGUCUAAGGUUUCCUGCUCUAUGCUAAUCAGAGCAGGGUAAGUCGGAUCCUAAGGUGAGGCUGAAAAGCGUAAUCGAUGGAAAACUGGUUAAUAUUCCAGUACUUUUAUUUAAUUCGAUGGGGUGACGAAGAAGGCUAUGUUAUCUACCAGAUGGUUUUGGUAGUUCAAGUAUGUAGAUAGUUUGCUUUGGCAAAUCCGGGCAAAUUUUUAUUCGAGAUACGAGUACGAUUUCCUUUUUUUCGAAAUUGGAAAGAAGUAAUUUAUGCCAUGCUUCCAGGAAAAGCCUCUAAGGUUAAGUUAAAUAAAAUCCGUACCGCAAACCGACACAGGUAGACANGUAGAGAAUACUAAGGCGUUGAGAAAACUUAGGUGAAGGAACUCGGCAAAAUGGCACCGUAACUUCGGGAGAAGGUGCGCCUUUUANAGUGANANANNUUNCNUNUNNAGCUUAAAAAGGCUNAAAAAACCAGGUGGCUGCGACUGUUUAUUAAAAACACAGCACUCUGCAAACUCGCAAGAGGAAGUAUAGGGUGUGACGCCUGCCCGGUGCCGGAAGGUUAAUUGAAGAUGUGAGAGCAUCUGAUCGAAGCCCCGGUAAACGGCGGCCGUAACUAUAACGGUCCUAAGGUAGCGAAAUUCCUUGUCGGGUAAGUUCCGACCUGCACGAAAGGCGUAAGAGGCCACACUGUCUCGAUCUUAAGGCUCAGUGAAAUUGAAAUUGCUGUGAAGAUGCAGUGUACCCGCGGUAAGACGGAAAGACCCCGUG
Molecule: ribosomal RNA, 2067 nt
Filed under: metagenome
Description: bacterial LSU rRNA
Rfam family: Bacterial large subunit ribosomal RNA
Source: RNAcentral